Molecule: long non-coding RNA, 247 nt
Organism: Ochotona princeps (American pika)
Lineage: Eukaryota; Metazoa; Chordata; Mammalia; Lagomorpha; Ochotonidae
Exons: 3
Source: RefSeq, a predicted model, not a curated record
AUUGGAUGACAAGGAGUCUGGAACUGGUCAGGCUUGUUCCUCUAUUGCAACUUCCUGUACACUCUAAUUGGAAGGUUGAAAGAUGCGAUGUGAGCCUGAACUUAAUGCCUCUUGGACUAUGCUGGAACCCCCAAAACUAUGGCAGCAGGCUCUUCCAGAAGCAGUUGCCAGUGCCAAGGAUCAAAAGCCAUCAAGAGCCAUUAGCCAAACCAAGGAACAGAAGUCUUCAGUCAAAUUCUAGGCUGAG